Molecule: ribosomal RNA, 1266 nt
Filed under: Salmonella enterica subsp. enterica serovar Derby
Lineage: Bacteria; Pseudomonadati; Pseudomonadota; Gammaproteobacteria; Enterobacterales; Enterobacteriaceae
Description: partial 23S ribosomal RNA
Rfam family: Bacterial large subunit ribosomal RNA
Source: RNAcentral
AAGCAGAGGGGGCUUAGUGGUGGGGUGACUGCGUACCUUUUGUAUAAUGGGUCAGCGACUUAUAUUCUGUAGCAAGGUUAACCGUAUAGGGGAGCCGGAGGGAAACCGAGUCUUAAUUGGGCGUUAAGUUGCAGGGUAUAGACCCGAAACCCGGUGAUCUAGCCAUGGGCAGGUUGAAGGUUGGGUAACACUAACUGGAGGACCGAACCGACUAAUGUUGAAAAAUUAGCGGAUGACCUGUGGCUGGGGGUGAAAGGCCAAUCAAACCGGGAGAUAGCUGGUUCUCCCCGAAAGCUAUUUAGGUAGCGCCUCGUGAAUUCAUCUCCGGGGGUAGAGCACUGUUUCGGCUAGGGGGCCAUCCCGGCUUACCAACCCGAUGCAAACUGCGAAUACCGGAGAAUGUUAUCACGGGAGACACACGGCGGGUGCUAACGUCCGUCGUGAAGAGGGAAACAACCCAGACCGCCAGCUAAGGUCCCAAAGUCAUGGUUAAGUGGGAAACGAUGUGGGAAGGCCCAGACAGCCAGGAUGUUGGCUUAGAAGCAGCCAUCAUUUAAAGAAAGCGUAAUAGCUCACUGGUCGAGUCGGCCUGCGCGGAAGAUGUAACGGGGCUAAACCAUGCACCGAAGCUGCGGCAGCGAACGUAUCACUUAAAGCGAUUCAGCGGGUUACGAUUGACGGAGCGAAGCGACGUCAAAGCGUAUACAAAGUCGAGUCGGUUUAAGGAUACGUUCGUUGGGUAGGGGAGCGUUCUGUAAGCCUGUGAAGGUGUGUCGUGAGGCAUGCUGGAGGUAUCAGAAGUGCGAAUGCUGACAUAAGUAACGAUAAAGCGGGUGAAAAGCCCGCUCGCCGGAAGACCAAGGGUUCCUGUCCAACGUUAAUCGGGGCAGGGUGAGUCGACCCCUAAGGCGAGGCCGAAAGGCGUAGUCGAUGGGAAACGGGUUAAUAUUCCCGUACUUGGUGUUACUGCGAAGGGGGGACGGAGAAGGCUAUGUUGGCCGGGCGACGGUUGUCCCGGUUUAAGCGUGUAGGCUGGUUUUCCAGGCAAAUCCGGAAAAUCAAGGCUGAGGCGUGAUGACGAGGCACUACGGUGCUGAAGCAACAAAUGCCCUGCUUCCAGGAAAAGCCUCUAAGCAUCAGGUAACAUCAAAUCGUACCCCAAACCGACACAGGUGGUCAGGUAGAGAAUACCAAGGCGCUUGAGAGAACUCGGGUGAAGGAACUAGGCAAAAUGGUGCCGUAACUUCGGGAGAAGGCACGCUGACA